AUACUCUGGUUUCUCUUCAGAUCAUAUAAAUCUUUUGCUAUUUACUAAAGAUUUCCGUGGAGAGGAACAAUUCUGAGUCUUUACCCGAUUUUUUGAGACCUUACUCUUGUGAGGC
Molecule: small nuclear RNA, 115 nt
Filed under: Phocoena sinus (vaquita)
Lineage: Eukaryota; Metazoa; Chordata; Mammalia; Artiodactyla; Phocoenidae
Description: U5 spliceosomal RNA (ENSPSNG00000003124.1)
Rfam family: U5 spliceosomal RNA
About the family: U5 RNA is a component of both types of known spliceosome.
Source: Rfam by way of RNAcentral